RNAcentral lists this ribosomal RNA (396 nucleotides) under uncultured bacterium. RNAcentral describes it as "partial 16S ribosomal RNA". It matches the Rfam family "Bacterial small subunit ribosomal RNA", at positions 360 to 774 of the family's 1533-position model. The record is from RNAcentral.
AAUAUUGCACAAUGGGGGAAACCCUGAUGCAGCAACGCCGCGUGAGCGAUGAAGGCCUUCGGGUCGUAAAGCUCUGUCCUAAGGGAAGAUAAUGACGGUACCUUAGGAGGAAGCCCCGGCUAACUACGUGCCAGCAGCCGCGGUAAUACGUAGGGGGCAAGCGUUAUCCGGAAUCAUUGGGCGUAAAGGGUGCGUAGGCUGGCCUAUAGGUCAGAGGUCAAAGGCUACGGCUCAACCGUAGUAAGCCUUUGAAACUGUAGGGCUUGAGUGCAGGAGAGGGGAGUGGAAUUCCUAGUGUGGCGGUGGAAUGCGUAGAUAUUAGGAGGGAAACCAGUGGCGAAGGCGACUCUCUGGACUGCAACUGACGCUGGGGCACGAAAGCGUGGGUAGCGAACA